Non-coding RNA from Triticum aestivum (bread wheat), 115 nucleotides. Lineage: Eukaryota; Viridiplantae; Streptophyta; Magnoliopsida; Poales; Poaceae. The record is from Rfam.
UAAGUACUCCCUCUGUUCCAUAUUAGUUGUCGCUGAAACAAAUGUAUCUAGACGUAUGUCAGUGCUAGAUACAUCCGUUUGAGCGACAACUAAUAUGGAAUGGAGGGAGUAUGUG